Molecule: long non-coding RNA, 1119 nt
Filed under: Gallus gallus (chicken)
Lineage: Eukaryota; Metazoa; Chordata; Aves; Galliformes; Phasianidae
Source: RNAcentral
GCUUUUAUAUUACAAAAAAUGAAGUCACAACGAAUGCGAAAAAUCCAUUCAAUGAGGCUUGUUUCCAGUCUGCUAGGAAAGCUACUUUCUCUUCUUUUUUCCCAGCCUACUGCUGAAAACAUGAUUGCCAAAACAGUGACACCUCGAGCUAGAUUUUUAAAAUCAAACUUGCUCUGCCAGAUCCAGUACUCUGAACUUGUCCAGGUUGUAGAAACAAGCCUUCACCACUCGGCCGCCAAAGUAUCUUCCGUUUAGAUCCACAACAGCUUUAAUUGCAGACUCAACCCGCUCAAACUCCAAAAAUAUUCUUACAGCUUCAUCAUCAGGGGCACCAGGAAUCUCAAAGAUGACGCAUUUCCCAACCUUGCCAUAUUUUUCACAUUCUUCCUUAGUUUCAACUUCUAGAUCUUCGUCCACCUCGCCAGCACCCACCAUAUUCCUUAGUAAGACCACUUUAGUUGGGCAUUUCAGUAUCUCAGUCAAUGGAUUAGAAUCUGCUUUCUUGGUUGCAUCUUUCUCUGUAGCAUCACCAACAAUGAUCUUGCCACCCCUCUUGCUUGUUUUCUCUACAGAGAGUGCUGUGCUCAGGCCCUGUUCAUGCUUUCCCAGCCCUUGGCCCUCUCUGAAACCAUACUUCUGCAUGAUUUUAUGAGCUACUGUCCCUCCCAUGUUAGCAAGGAAUGAGUUGCUAGGUCCUGUCGGGGAACGAGGUCUGUCUGGCUCAUCAUACACUGGAGGAGGAAUGGCUGCUUUGGAAGAUGGUGCCCGAGGUCUUGACUCAUCUUCAUAUGGGAAUGAUGCUACAGGUUCUUUGUCCUUCUCAACCAGAGAAGUGGGUGGUGCAAUUGCAGCUCCUCCCAUACUUCUUUUUCUUCUCUCCCUUUCGUAAUCUUCAUCUUCAUCAGAAUCUGGAUCCGGCCUUCUUGAAAACCCACUGGCUUCAUGUCUGUCUUUACGCUUUUCUCUCUCUUCAAUUUCCUUUUGCCUCUCCAGCUCACGCUGUCUCUGUCGUUCCUCUCUUUGCCGCUUCACCACUUUUUCAUAGUCAUUUGGAAACAUAGGAUCAUACUCAUCUGCCAAAGGAAUCAAUACAUCUCCUGCAGAAAAACCACUAGGUAC